Molecule: unclassified non-coding RNA, 242 nt
Filed under: Hevea brasiliensis (rubber tree)
Lineage: Eukaryota; Viridiplantae; Streptophyta; Magnoliopsida; Malpighiales; Euphorbiaceae
Source: RNAcentral
GCUCAAUAAGUAUCUCGAUUUCUCUAUCCACAGGUAUUUUGUGGACAAGCUUAUUAAUAUCUGAAUUAUUUGUUAACAAUCUUGUACUUGUCUCGAAAUAAGGUUCAAAUUUAAACCAAAAUUUUAGGAUUCUAUCAUCAACAUUCAACUUCUUGACACAUAAUCUCAUCUGAAUAAUAGAGUUUUCCUCGCCCUUACAUUAGGCAUAAUAAUAUAUUCGUCCGCCAACAUAAUUCAUCUCA